Molecule: long non-coding RNA, 325 nt
Organism: Saccostrea cuccullata (small rock oyster)
Lineage: Eukaryota; Metazoa; Mollusca; Bivalvia; Ostreida; Ostreidae
Exons: 3
Source: RefSeq, a predicted model, not a curated record
AUUGAGGAUUUUUCCUAAAGCCAAUAAAAAAAGAAAAGAAAAGAAAAAAGAAAAAAAAAGAUUUAUUCAGUUGAACUUUUAAGGUGCAGUAUUGGCUGGAUGGUUGUCAGAAGGACGAUGAUGUUUACGAAUUAACAGAACAGGAAUUUCAGACAGAUUUGAAGGACGGAAAUUUGUUUAUCCUCAACAGUACACAGUUGGAUCACAGCUACACAAAUUUUUGAACAAGACUAUAAGGUUUAUUGAUUUUUUAGAGUUAUCUUCCUUAAAAAUGAUUAUCUUUCUUUGAAAUUACAGUCUUAUAUUUUAAAUUGGAUUACCUCCC